AAUCACUCUGUGAGGAUACAUUUUCAGUAUCUAUUGGUUCUGGGAUUAAAUUCUGUGCCUGUAUUUUUCUUGUAUUAACACACAUUUGCUUAACUUCAUUUCUAAGCUGGCAAAAAAGAUUGUUUAUUAAUUCAACUCUAUCCUCUAGUUCACAGACUGUUUCUGACUAUUUACAGCAUGUGCUCUCUGUUACUUUGUUACACUGUUCAUUUAAAUCUGAUUUGUCUUCUGUUAACCCAUACAAAUCUACUUCUUUAUCUGCUGAUUCUAAAUUUUCUUGACCUGCAUCUUGUUUAC
Non-coding RNA from Pelobates cultripes (western spadefoot toad), 297 nucleotides. Lineage: Eukaryota; Metazoa; Chordata; Amphibia; Anura; Pelobatidae. The record is from the annotation of a GenBank genome assembly.